RNAcentral lists this ribosomal RNA (764 nucleotides) under uncultured bacterium. Its description in RNAcentral is "bacterial SSU rRNA". It matches the Rfam family "Bacterial small subunit ribosomal RNA", at positions 741 to 1504 of the family's 1533-position model. The record is from RNAcentral.
UGACGCUCAUGGACGAAAGCCAGGGGAGCGAAAGGGAUUAGAUACCCCUGUAGUCCUGGCCGUAAACGAUGAACACUAGGUGUCGGGGGAAUCGACCCCCUCGGUGUCGUAGCCAACGCGUUAAGUGUUCCGCCUGGGGAGUACGCACGCAAGUGUGAAACUCAAAGGAAUUGACGGGGGCCCGCACAAGCGGUGGAGUAUGUGGUUUAAUUCGAUGCAACGCGAAGAACCUUACCAGGGUUUGACAUCCUGCGAAUCUCUUGGAAACGAGAGGGUGCCUUCGGGAACGCAGUGACAGGUGGUGCAUGGCUGUCGUCAGCUCGUGUCGUGAGAUGUUGGGUUAAGUCCCGCAACGAGCGCAACCCACGUCUUUAGUUGCCAGCAUUUAGUUGGGCACUCUAGAGAGACCGCCGGUGAUAAACCGGAGGAAGGUGUGGAUGACGUCAAGUCAUCAUGCCCCUUACAUCCUGGGCUACACACGUACUACAAUGCUACGGACAAAGAGCAGCAAGUUCGCGAGGACAAGCAAAUCUCAUAAACCGUGGCUCAGUUCAGAUCGUAGGCUGCAACUCGCCUACGUGAAGGAGGAAUCGCUAGUAAUCGCAGGUCAGCAUACUGCGGUGAAUACGUUCCCGGGCCUUGUACACACCGCCCGUCACACCAUGGAAGUUGGCCACGCCCGAAGCCGUUACUCCAACCCUUGUGGAGGAGGACGUCGAAGGUGGGGCUGAUGACUGGGGUGAAGUCGUAACAAGGUAACCGUA